CCGGCUCAGAUUGAACGCUGGCGGCAGGCCUAACACAUGCAAGUCGAACGGUAGCACAGAGAGCUUGCUCUCGGGUGACGAGUGGCGGACGGGUGAGUAAUGUCUGGGAAACUGCCCGAUGGAGGGGGAUAACUACUGGAAACGGUAGCUAAUACCGCAUAACGUCGCAAGACCAAAGUGGGGGACCUUCGGGCCUCACACCAUCGGAUGUGCCCAGAUGGGAUUAGCUAGUAGGUGGGGUAAUGGCUCACCUAGGCGACGAUCCCUAGCUGGUCUGAGAGGAUGACCAGCCACACUGGAACUGAGACACGGUCCAGACUCCUACGGGAGGCAGCAGUGGGGAAUAUUGCACAAUGGGCGCAAGCCUGAUGCAGCCAUGCCGCGUGUAUGAAGAAGGCCUUCGGGUUGUAAGGUACUUUCAGCGGGGGAAGGGAAAGGCGGUGGAAGUU
RNAcentral lists this ribosomal RNA (449 nucleotides) under Enterobacteriaceae bacterium AE_143. Its description in RNAcentral is "bacterial SSU rRNA". It matches the Rfam family "Bacterial small subunit ribosomal RNA", at positions 19 to 464 of the family's 1533-position model. The record is from RNAcentral. Lineage: Bacteria; Pseudomonadati; Pseudomonadota; Gammaproteobacteria; Enterobacterales; Enterobacteriaceae.